UUUAUGGAGAGUUUGAUCCUGGCUCAGGAUGAACGCUGGCGGCGUGCCUAAUACAUGCAAGUCGAGCGAACGGACGAGAAGCUUGCUUCUCUGAUGUUAGCGGCGGACGGGUGAGUAACACGUGGAUAACCUACCUAUAAGACUGGGAUAACUUCGGGAAACCGGAGCUAAUACCGGAUAAUAUUUUGAACCGCAUGGUUCAAAAGUGAAAGACGGUCUUGCUGUCACUUAUAGAUGGAUCCGCGCUGCAUUAGCUAGUUGGUAAGGUAACGGCUUACCAAGGCAACGAUGCAUAGCCGACCUGAGAGGGUGAUCGGCCACACUGGAACUGAGACACGGUCCAGACUCCUACGGGAGGCAGCAGUAGGGAAUCUUCCGCAAUGGGCGAAAGCCUGACGGAGCAACGCCGCGUGAGUGAUGAAGGUCUUCGGAUCGUAAAACUCUGUUAUUAGGGAAGAACAUAUGUGUAAGUAACUGUGCACAUCUUGACGGUACCUAAUCAGAAAGCCACGGCUAACUACGUGCCAGCAGCCGCGGUAAUACGUAGGUGGCAAGCGUUAUCCGGAAUUAUUGGGCGUAAAGCGCACGUAGGCGGUUUUUUAAGUCUGAUGUGAAAGCCCACGGCUCAACCGUGGAGGGUCAUUGGAAACUGGAAAACUUGAGUGCAGAAGAGGAAAGUGGAAUUCCAUGUGUAGCGGUGAAAUGCGCAGAGAUAUGGAGGAACACCGGUGGCGAAGGCGACUUUCUGGUCUGUAACUGACGCUGAUGUGCGAAAGCGUGGGGAUCAAACAGGAUUAGAUACCCUGGUAGUCCACGCCGUAAACGAUGAGUGCUAAGUGUUAGGGGUUUCCGCCCCUUAGUGCUGCAGCUAACGCAUUAAGCACUCCGCCUGGGGAGUACGACCGCAAGGUUGAAACUCAAAGGAAUUGACGGGGACCCGCACAAGCGGUGGAGCAUGUGGUUUAAUUCGAAGCAACGCGAAGAACCUUACCAAAUCUUGACAUCCUUUGACAACUCUAGAGAUAGAGCCUUCCCCUUCGGGGGACAAAGUGACAGGUGGUGCAUGGUUGUCGUCAGCUCGUGUCGUGAGAUGUUGGGUUAAGUCCCGCAACGAGCGCAACCCUUAAGCUUAGUUGCCAUCAUUAAGUUGGGCACUCUAAGUUGACUGCCGGUGACAAACCGGAGGAAGGUGGGGAUGACGUCAAAUCAUCAUGCCCCUUAUGAUUUGGGCUACACACGUGCUACAAUGGACAAUACAAAGGGCAGCGAAACCGCGAGGUCAAGCAAAUCCCAUAAAGUUGUUCUCAGUUCGGAUUGUAGUCUGCAACUCGACUACAUGAAGCUGGAAUCGCUAGUAAUCGUAGAUCAGCAUGCUACGGUGAAUACGUUCCCGGGUCUUGUACACACCGCCCGUCACACCACGAGAGUUUGUAACACCCGAAGCCGGUGGAGUAACCUUUUAGGAGCUAGCCGUCGAAGGUGGGACAAAUGAUUGGGGUGAAGUCGUAACAAGGUAGCCGUAUCGGAAGGUGCGGCUGGAUCACCUCCUUUCU
RNAcentral lists this ribosomal RNA (1553 nucleotides) under Staphylococcus aureus. RNAcentral describes it as "16S ribosomal RNA". It matches the Rfam family "Bacterial small subunit ribosomal RNA". Lineage: Bacteria; Bacillati; Bacillota; Bacilli; Caryophanales; Staphylococcaceae. The record is from RNAcentral.